RNAcentral lists this long non-coding RNA (524 nucleotides) under Pan troglodytes (chimpanzee). RNAcentral's name for it is "lncRNA (ENSPTRG00000053984.1)". The record is from RNAcentral. Lineage: Eukaryota; Metazoa; Chordata; Mammalia; Primates; Hominidae.
GGGAGGAAGAGUGGAGGAAGAGGAGGGGGAAGAAGGAAGGAGGAAGGGCCGUACCAAGUCACCGGUGAACAUUCCCAGCACACACAGGACUCCUCCCAGAAACAGACAGGUGGAAGCUGACCACUAAAAGCUGGCUAGAGAGAGCCAGGGCACUCAGGACUAGGGGGAGAGUUGAAGUAUUAUGUUGGCAAAAGACUCUAUGGGUAUCCUCACUUGACUAGAAGAAGGAUUACUUUUUCCUUGGACCCAGGAAUCUGCUGAGGUGUUCACAGCUGCCUGCCUGCCUGCCCUGUCAGAUAGUAGAAGUGGUGAGAUGAUGACCAAGUUGGAUGGUGAACGGAAGAUUCUCGACACCAGAAUGACCUUCUGCCUGAAAAGUUCAUCCAGAGAGUCAUCACUUUGUACCCCUGAUCAGCGUGCUAAGCAAAGAGCAGCUGUGACUCAGCCUGGUGACUGAAGAGAUGGUUCCUGGUUCUUUUAUAGGGCACCUGUGUCCAUUUUGCUGCUGUGGACAUCCAUCUUUA